Molecule: ribosomal RNA, 252 nt
Filed under: uncultured bacterium
Lineage: Bacteria
Description: partial 16S ribosomal RNA
Rfam family: Bacterial small subunit ribosomal RNA
Source: RNAcentral
UACGUAGGUGGCAAGCGUUGUCCGGAGUUAUUGGGCGUAAAGCGCGCGCAGGCGGUCCUUUAAGUCUGAUGUGAAAGCCCACGGCUCAACCGUGGAGGGUCAUUGGAAACUGGGGGACUUGAGUGCAGAAGAGGAAAGCGGAAUUCCACGUGUAGCGGUGAAAUGCGUAGAGAUGUGGAGGAACACCAGUGGCGAAGGCGGCUUCUGGUCUGUAACUGACGCUGAGGCGCGAAAGCGUGGGGAGCAAACAGG